GACGAACGCUGGCGGCGUGCUUAACACAUGCAAGUCGAACGGAAAGGCCCUGCUUUUGUGGGGUGCUCGAGUGGCGAACGGGUGAGUAACACGUGAGUAACCUGCCCUUGACUUUGGGAUAACUUCAGGAAACUUGGGCUAAUACCGGAUAGGAGCUCCUGCUGCAUGGUGGGGGGUGGAAAGUUUCGGCGGUUGGGGAUGGACUCGCGGCUUAUCAGCUUGUUGGUGGGGUAGUGGCUUACCAAGGCUUUGACGGGUAGCCGGCCUGAGAGGGUGACCGGCGACAUUGGGACUGAGAUACGGCCCAGACUCCUACGGGAGGCAGCAGUGGGGAAUAUUGCACAAUGGGCGGAAGCCUGAGGCAGCAACGCCGCGUGCGGGAUGACGGCCUUCGGGUUGUAAACCGCUUUCGCCUGUGACGAAGCGUGUGUGACGGUAAUGGGUAAAGAAGCACCGGCUAACUACGUG
This 468-nucleotide ribosomal RNA is filed under the name uncultured bacterium. Its description in RNAcentral is "partial 16S ribosomal RNA". It matches the Rfam family "Bacterial small subunit ribosomal RNA", at positions 28 to 507 of the family's 1533-position model. The record is from RNAcentral.